Petromyzon marinus (sea lamprey) is the source of this 801-nucleotide non-coding RNA. Lineage: Eukaryota; Metazoa; Chordata; Hyperoartia; Petromyzontiformes; Petromyzontidae. The record is from RefSeq and is a predicted model, not a curated record.
GUUAGUCUCUCUCUACAGACAGGUUCACUCUACUGUUAGUCUCUCUCUCUACAGACAGGUUCACUCUACUGUUAGUCUCUCUCUACAGACAGGUUCACUCUACUGUUAGUCUCUCUCUACAGACAGGUUCACUCUACUGUUAGUCUCUCUCUACAGACAGGUUCACUCUACUGUUAGUCUCUCUCUACAGACAGGUUCACUCUACUGUUAGUCUCUCUCUACAGACAGCCUCGUUACACAGCAGACAGGUUCACUCUACUGUUAGUCUCUCUCUACAGACAGGUUCACUCUACUGUUAGUCUCUCUCUACAGACAGCCUCGUUACACAGCAGACAGGUUCACUCUACUGUUAGUCUCUCUCUACAGACAGGUUCACUCUACUGUUAGUCUCUCUCUACAGACAGGUUCACUCUACUGUUAGUCUCUCUCUCUACAGACAGCCUCGUUACACAGCAGACAGGUUCACUCUACUGUUAGUCUCUCUCUACAGACAGGUUCACUCUACUGUUAGUCUCUCUCUACAGACAGGUUCACUCUACUGUUAGUCUCUCUCUACAGACAGGUUCACUCUACUGUUAGUCUCUCUCUACAGACAGGUUCACUCUACUGUUAGUCUCUCUCUACAGACAGGUUCACUCUACUGUUAGUCUCUCUCUACAGACAGGUUCACUCUACUGUUAGUCUCUCUCUACAGACAGGUUCACUCUACUGUUAGUCUCUCUCUACAGACAGGUUCACUCUACUGUUAGUCUCUCUCUACAGACAGCCUCGUUACAUAGCAGACAGGUUCACUCUACUGUU